RNAcentral lists this ribosomal RNA (465 nucleotides) under Vreelandella stevensii. RNAcentral describes it as "partial 16S ribosomal RNA". It matches the Rfam family "Bacterial small subunit ribosomal RNA", at positions 338 to 795 of the family's 1533-position model. The record is from RNAcentral. Lineage: Bacteria; Pseudomonadati; Pseudomonadota; Gammaproteobacteria; Oceanospirillales; Halomonadaceae.
CCUACGGGGGGCAGCAGUGGGGAAUAUUGGACAAUGGGGGGAACCCUGAUCCAGCCAUGCCGCGUGUGUGAAGAAGGCCCUCGGGUUGUAAAGCACUUUCAGUGAGGAAGAACGCCUGGUGGUUAAUACCCGUCAGGAAAGACAUCACUCACAGAAGAAGCACCGGCUAACUCCGUGCCAGCAGCCGCGGUAAUACGGAGGGUGCGAGCGUUAAUCGGAAUUACUGGGCGUAAAGCGCGCGUAGGUGGCUUGAUAAGCCGGUUGUGAAAGCCCCGGGCUCAACCUGGGAACGGCAUCCGGAACUGUCAAGCUAGAGUGCAGGAGAGGAAGGUAGAAUUCCCGGUGUAGCGGUGAAAUGCGUAGAGAUCGGGAGGAAUACCAGUGGCGAAGGCGGCCUUCUGGACUGACACUGACACUGAGGUGCGAAAGCGUGGGUAGCAAACAGGAUUAGAUACCCUGGUAGUC